RNAcentral lists this long non-coding RNA (441 nucleotides) under Citrus sinensis (sweet orange). RNAcentral's name for it is "long non-coding RNA (CSIN_LNC003236)". The record is from RNAcentral. Lineage: Eukaryota; Viridiplantae; Streptophyta; Magnoliopsida; Sapindales; Rutaceae.
GAAAGGCAGCCGCACAAGGAGAAUGAUAAGAGCCAAGAGAAAAUAAAGAGAAGAGCAGCAGCCGCAAGUUUGGAGCAAAACCGAGAGCAGCAGGAAUAAUUUGGAGCAGGAGGAAGAUGCAUUAAUUCUUAAGUUUUUCUUUUCCUCUUCUCUAUUAUCCUGUUUGAAUGUUUUUAAUUAAAUUUAUGGAUUCUCUUUAUAUUCCCAUGAACUAAUUUAUUUUACUAGGGCUACGAUGUAGCCUAACUAUGAAGAUUUAAUUCCAUAAAUCUAUGUUAUUUUUAAUUAAUUAUUCUAUGAUUGAGUGUUCAUUAUUGUACUUAAUGCUUUUAAAUAUCUGGCCAAUAUUUGAAUGAUUUGAGGAUACAUAAUGAGACCGAGAAGAGAUUUAUGUAUUUUUGCUCUGUGCAAUGGAUACCAUGAAUUGAACGAAAGACAGAG